Rhopalosiphum padi (bird cherry-oat aphid) is the source of this 283-nucleotide long non-coding RNA. RefSeq lists it as uncharacterized. NCBI's taxonomy places the organism in Eukaryota, Metazoa, Arthropoda, Insecta, Hemiptera, Aphididae. The record is from RefSeq and is a predicted model, not a curated record. The transcript has 3 exons.
GAAAUGAAAAAAGAAAACAUUAGAGUAUUAAAUAAACAGAUAAAUCAAAUAUAUAAACAAUACAUUAAAAAAAGGGCCUCAGUCAUCUGUUUAUUAUCAUUCUAGUGCCAAUGAUCUACCGAAGAUAAUAGAUUAAACAAUGAUGAAAUUAUGGUCAUGGAAGAUGAAAAUAUGGUAAUUGGUCGACAAUUCACUUUACCUUAUUUUGAAAUAAUGAUUAGAAGAUAUCUUCAAAUUUUUACACGCGACGACCAUAAUCGUCCACCAUCUAAUUAGUAAGCUG